UUCAUCUCUGCUGUCUGAAGACUAAUCUACAGGAUUAUUAGAUUAUUGAUGAACUGGAACCAAACAACAUGAUGAACAGCUGAUGUUCAGAUGUGAUGUUUAGAUGAGCAGAACUCUGUCGACCCAAUCAGAGCUUCACGGCUCCAGAUGAUCCGUCUAAAAUCUAAAUAUCUGGGAGCUUAAAGACAGGAACGUCCUUCAUGUCCAAUAAAGCCCGGACUUCACUGUGGCUCCACUUCUCUGGCUCUGGCUCCAUUUUGGUAAAUGUGAAGGUAGAAAGUGUGUGUGAGCUGAUGUGGAUGUGAAUUCAGCAGCAUG
Molecule: long non-coding RNA, 318 nt
Organism: Fundulus heteroclitus (mummichog)
Lineage: Eukaryota; Metazoa; Chordata; Actinopteri; Cyprinodontiformes; Fundulidae
Exons: 3
Source: RefSeq, a predicted model, not a curated record